RNAcentral lists this ribosomal RNA (770 nucleotides) under Ralstonia mannitolilytica. Its description in RNAcentral is "bacterial SSU rRNA". It matches the Rfam family "Bacterial small subunit ribosomal RNA", at positions 47 to 798 of the family's 1533-position model. The record is from RNAcentral. Lineage: Bacteria; Pseudomonadati; Pseudomonadota; Betaproteobacteria; Burkholderiales; Burkholderiaceae.
CAUCAUGGCCAUGUCAGUCGACGGCAGCUUUGAGUGAGGUUGCUUUUCCUGCCGGCGAGUGGCGAAAGGGUGAGUAAUACAUCGGAACGUGCCCUGGAGUGGGGGAUAACUAGUCGAAAGAUUAGCUAAUACCGCAUACGACCUGAGGGUGAAAGUGGGGGACCGCAAGGCCUCAUGGUAUGCCAGCGGCCGAUGUCUGAUUAGCUAGUUGGUGGGGUAAAGGCCUACCAAGGCGACUAUCAGUAUCUGGUCUGAGAGGACGAUCAGCCACACUGGGACUGAGACACGGCCCAGACUCCUACGGGAGGCAGCAGUGGGGAAUUUUGGACAAUGGGCGAAAGCCUGAUCCAGCAAUGCCGCGUGUGUGAAGAAGGCCUUCGGGUUGUAUAGCACUUUUGUCCGGAAAGAAAUGGCUCUGGUUAAUACCUGGGGUCGAUGACGGUACCGGAAGAAUAAGGACCGGCUAACUACGUGCCAGCAGCCGCGGUAAUACGUAGGGUCCAAGCGUUAAUCAGAAUUACUGGGCGUAAAGCGUGCGCAGGCGGUUGUGCAAGACCGAUGUGAAAUCCCCGAGCUUAACUUGGGAAUUGCAUUGGUGACUGCACGGCUAGAGUGUGUCAGGAGGGGGGGUAGAAUUCCACGUGUAGCAGUGAUAUGCGUAGAGAUGUGGAGGAUACCGAUGGCGACGCACCCCCUGGGAUCACACUGACGCUCAUGCACGAGAGCGUGGGGGAGCAAAUCAGGAUUAGAAUCCCCCCGUGUUGUCCCAU